ACCCGCUGAACUUAAGCAUAUCAAUAAGCGGAGGAAAAGAAACUAACAAGGAUUCCCCUAGUAACUGCGAGUGAAGAGGGAAAAGCUCAAAUUUAAAAUCUGG
This 103-nucleotide ribosomal RNA is filed under the name Cryptomarasmius crescentiae. RNAcentral's name for it is "partial 28S ribosomal RNA". It matches the Rfam family "Eukaryotic large subunit ribosomal RNA", at positions 23 to 125 of the family's 3401-position model. The record is from RNAcentral. Lineage: Eukaryota; Fungi; Basidiomycota; Agaricomycetes; Agaricales; Physalacriaceae.